This is a long non-coding RNA of Solanum stenotomum, 561 nucleotides long. RefSeq lists it as uncharacterized. NCBI's taxonomy places the organism in Eukaryota, Viridiplantae, Streptophyta, Magnoliopsida, Solanales, Solanaceae. The record is from RefSeq and is a predicted model, not a curated record. The transcript is spliced from 2 exons.
UUGUUUUGGCAUGUUUGUAAUUACCUAUUUCUGCUUUCCUUGAAAUUGAGGUUCUUUAUUCUAACUAUGGUUUUGUAGGUGGAUUAUCUAUAGUUUCUGUUUGACAUUUGUUGAAUAUGUUUAGAGUUUAUUAUUUUAGUCUAAUAACUUUGGAGAUACUGAUGAUUGGAUUUUCUUUAUUUGUCUUAGUGAGUGGGCAGUGAACAUUCAACGUGACAGUUAUGCAUCUUAUGUUGGCCACUACCCAAUGUUGGCGUAUUUUGCCAUUGCAGAAAAUGAAUCAAUUGGAAGAGAGCGCUACAAUUUUAUGCAGAAAAUGCUUUUGCCUUGUGGUCUUCUACCUGAAAGGGAAGACGAUUAAGAGUUGCAACGGAUAGCACCCUUUCAGACUCAGACCUCUGUCAAGCCUAAACCUUGCUGCUUUAAUCUCCAGUUCAGAACAUGUAAGGUUGAGUUGAUAUGAAAGAUUUGACUUGUAUUAAUCUGAGUGAUCUAGCAAAAGCACAUUUUGAGUUGUUUCUUCAUGUUCAACUAACAUAUAUAUACAUUUCAUGUUCAUUA